This 462-nucleotide ribosomal RNA is filed under the name uncultured bacterium. RNAcentral describes it as "partial 16S ribosomal RNA". It matches the Rfam family "Bacterial small subunit ribosomal RNA", at positions 28 to 507 of the family's 1533-position model. The record is from RNAcentral.
GACGAACGCUGGCGGCGUGCUUAACACAUGCAAGUCGAGCGGAAAGGCCCUUCGGGGUACUCGAGCGGCGAACGGGUGAGUAACACGUGAGUAACCUGCCCCAGACUUUGGGAUAACCCUCGGAAACGGGGGCUAAUACCGGAUACGACACAGCUUCGCAUGGGGUCUGUGUGGAAAGUUUUUCGGUUUGGGAUGGGCUCGCGGCCUAUCAGCUUGUUGGUGGGGUGAUGGCCUACCAAGGCGACGUCGGGUAGCCGGCCUGAGAGGGCGACCGGCCACACUGGGACUGAGACACGGCCCAGACUCCUACGGGAGGCAGCAGUGGGGAAUAUUGCACAAUGGGCGGAAGCCUGAUGCAGCGACGCCGCGUGAGGGAUGACGGCCUUCGGGUUGUAAACCUCUUUCAGCAGGGACGAAGCGUAAGUGACGGUACCUGCAGAAGAAGCGCCGGCCAACUACGUG